This 551-nucleotide long non-coding RNA is filed under the name Equus caballus (horse). RNAcentral describes it as "lncRNA (ENSECAG00000049841.1)". Lineage: Eukaryota; Metazoa; Chordata; Mammalia; Perissodactyla; Equidae. The record is from RNAcentral.
GCCUGACGGACCAAUAAGAGGGAGGAUUUGGGGGCCGGGCUACAAGGAAGCAGCCAGUGAGAGCGUGGUUUGAAGUCCAGGCUUGAGAGGACUGUAGACGGGGCCAACUUCGAAGGUCCUCGUGGCCGAAUGAUCUUCCAUCACUCAGGGAGCUGAAACUUGAUGCCUUCCGACUUUCAUGUCUGUACUCUUGGCGUUGGGAAGAGCCUCGCGGGAAGGUGUUGCAAGCUUUGGUCGCAAGAGAAAGAAAUAAGUCAACUUUUUACCCCCUCUGCCUUAACACGGAGUACACCUCGGCCUUUUUCCGCUUGGAUGCUCAUUAAGAGUUAGUUGACUUUGUAGCGGAUGCAAUAAAACUUGGAUGGUUUCAGGGCCCAAACAAUCCUGGUUUCUGUUUUUCUCUCUCCCCAACCACACCCCCAAGGAAAUUGCCUUUUCAGCAGGCGCCUGCGGGAAAGAACCGCAGGAGACAGAUUCCCUUGGAGACCUGCUGGGGUGGGGGAGAGCUGCGGGUAUGGAAAUAAAGGGGGCCAAGGUAAGAGCGCAGGGCG